Long non-coding RNA from Myotis myotis, 1167 nucleotides. RefSeq lists it as uncharacterized. The record is from RefSeq and is a predicted model, not a curated record. Lineage: Eukaryota; Metazoa; Chordata; Mammalia; Chiroptera; Vespertilionidae. The transcript has 3 exons.
GGGACGCAGUCAUCUCCCUCCUCUACCAUUUACCAAAAGGGGUUUUCCUUUAAUUCUGUAAUGGAACAGUUUGAAUUGGAAGUUGGCUAUUUCCUAAAACAAAAUCUAGAUCCAGAACGAAGCUGGGGCAGACACAGCACUCAACCAAACUGGCAUUCCUGAAGGAGAGGCCCUGCAGGAAGGCUGCGGGGAUGUUUCUCGCAGUGACAUUACCGGACGAGUCUUCAGAGGGACGAGGGACGAGGGACCUCCGUCUGCCGCAUGGGACAGGCCAAGCCCAGGUGCGGUUCUGUCACUGGGCCUGUGACACAGGGCAGCUCGGCACCAGCUGGCACCACCUUCAGGCGUUUUGUCUUCCUCUCUGCACUCCAAGCCAAGAACUGGUUUAGUCCCUUCUGUGCCCAGCAGAGCAGAAAAUUCUGGAAAUGCUUGUGGAGGUCGAUGAACUAGGCAGCCUCAUCAAUGUAACAUGGUGUAUGAGUUGCCGAAAGUUGAAGAGGAGGAGGUGGUGGAAAUUAACCAGCUGUAAAAACUGCUGGGAUGAAAUGUCACUGGGAAGGAAAGACAUCCGCAGGGACCCGUGGGCUUCCCAGUAAUUGGCUGAAGGACCACCUGCUGUUUGGAUCGGCUAUUCUGAGGCUCCCCUCUCUCCAGAGGCUCCGUGAUGAGAGUACCGAUCGCUGUGCCUCGUUAGGCGACAGGGACUGGAGCUUGUCUCUUUCCAGUUACACGGUUGAACCCAGAAUCUGCCAAGGAAAGGAAGCUGGAGGAUGGAAAGGCUGAAGGACAGAAAAACAAACUCUAGGAUUGGAGAUGUAAGCCCACCAUCCCCUGCCUUCCUGCAACACAGACACAGACACACACGCUCUCUGUCCCUCCUGGCUCAGCCCUGCUCUGAGACUUGCUCAGGGCCCCAGUUGGGAGUGGGGAGACAGCAAGCCCCUGUGGGUGAUACCCACGCAUACAUUGAGCUGAACUUGGCCCCACUAGGUGCAAACACUCCGCGGCGGGUAGCAGAGCUGAUUUCUGCCUCACUGCCAGCACCCGGGGGCUUGACCUCCCUUUCUGAGUGAAUGUGGUGGCAGGCAGCCAGGGCACUGACCUCCAACUCUCACCUCAGUGCUUCAGUGUUCAGCUGGCAGGCAGACCAUGGGUCCUGAGUCAUGA